Molecule: ribosomal RNA, 774 nt
Filed under: uncultured bacterium
Lineage: Bacteria
Description: bacterial SSU rRNA
Rfam family: Bacterial small subunit ribosomal RNA
Source: RNAcentral
AGAGUUUGAUCAUGGCUCAGAAUCAACGCUGGCGGCGUGCCUCAGACAUGCAAGUCGAACGAUUAAAGCUCUCUUCGGAGAGUGCAUAGAGUGGCGCACGGGUGAGUAACACGUAAGUAAUCUACCUUCGAGUGGGGAAUAACGUCCGGAAACGGACGCUAAUACCGCAUAAUGCAGCGGCAUCGCAAGAUGACAGUUGUUAAAGAUUUAUCGCUUGAAGAGGAGCUUGCGGCAGAUUAGCUAGUUGGUAAGGUAAUGGCUUACCAAGGCUACGAUCUGUAACCGGUCUAAGAGGACGGUCGGUCACACUGACACUGAACAACGGGUCAGACUCCUACGGGAGGCAGCAGUCGGGAAUUUUGGGCAAUGGGCGAAAGCCUGACCCAGCAACGCCGCGUGAAGGAUGAAGUAUUUCGGUAUGUAAACUUCGAAAGAAUGGGAAGAAUAAAUGACGGUACCAUUUAUAAGGUCCGGCUAACUACGUGCCAGCAGCCGCGGUAAUACGUAGGGACCAAGCGUUGUUCGGAUUUACUGGGCGUAAAGGGCGCGUAGGCGGCUUGACAAGUCACUUGUGAAAUCUCCGGGCUUAACUCGGAACGGCCAAGUGAAACUGUCAUGCUAGAGUGCAGAAGGGGCAAUCGGAAUUCUUGGUGUAGCGGUGAAAUGCGUAGAUAUCAAGAGGAACACCUGAGGUGAAGACGGGUUGCUGGGCUGACACUGACGCUGAGGCGCGAAAGCCAGGGGAGCAAACGGGAUUAGAUACCCUAGUAGUCC